AACGAACGCUGGCGGCAGGCUUAACACAUGCAAGUCGAACGAUGUAGCAAUACAUAGUGGCGCACGGGUGAGUAACGCGUGGGAAUGUACCAUUUGGUGGGGAAUAACUUCGGGAAACUGAAGCUAAUACCGCAUACGCCCGAGAGGGGAAAGAUUUAUCGCCAAAUGAUCAGCCCGCGUGAGAUUAGGUAGUUGGUGGGGUAAUGGCCUACCAAGCCUACGAUCUCUAGCUGGUCUGAGAGGAUGAUCAGCCACACUGGAACUGAGACACGGUCCAGACUCCUACGGGAGGCAGCAGUGGGGGAAUAUUGGGCAAUGGAGGAAACUCUGACCCAGCCAUGCCGCGUGAAUGAUGAAGGCCUUAGGGUUGUAAAGUUCUUUCGCCGAUGAAGAUAAUGACGGUAGUCGGAGAAGAAGCCCCGGCUAACUUCGUGCCAGCAGCCGCGGUAAU
This 451-nucleotide ribosomal RNA is filed under the name uncultured bacterium. Its description in RNAcentral is "bacterial SSU rRNA". It matches the Rfam family "Bacterial small subunit ribosomal RNA", at positions 29 to 524 of the family's 1533-position model. The record is from RNAcentral.